Molecule: unclassified non-coding RNA, 38 nt
Filed under: synthetic construct
Source: RNAcentral
GCGCAGGACUCGGCUUCUUCGGAAGGGACGAGGGGCGC